GCCGGCUUGGCUCAGUGGUAAAGCGAUUCACUCGUAUGCGACAUGAAUAGAUCGGAGGUUCGAUUCCUCCAGUCGGCA
The sequence is a transfer RNA, 78 nucleotides long. It matches the Rfam family "tRNA". From Rfam's summary of the family: Transfer RNA (tRNA) molecules are approximately 80 nucleotides in length. Their secondary structure includes four short double-helical elements and three loops (D, anti-codon, and T loops). Further hydrogen bonds mediate the characteristic L-shaped molecular structure. tRNAs have two regions of fundamental functional importance: the anti-codon, which is responsible for specific mRNA codon recognition, and the 3' end, to which the tRNAs corresponding amino acid is attached (by aminoacyl-tRNA synthetases). tRNAs cope with the degeneracy of the genetic code in two manners: having more than one tRNA (with a specific anti-codon) for a particular amino acid; and 'wobble' base-pairing, i.e. permitting non-standard base-pairing at the 3rd anti-codon position. The record is from Rfam.